AGAUGUUCCACGCGCUUACCUGGAUGGGCCACCUCAAACUGGGACCCAAGUACUGCCAUGCAGCAGGAGAUGGCUGAGCACCACACCAGCCCUGAUCCUCAACAGGGCCACGCUCAGCGUGUGUGAGGGACUGAGCAUGAGGAGCUGUGCGUGAGGUGCUGGUACGGGGGGCCGGUACUGGAAGUCAGGGUCAGCAGGGAAGUACAGAUUGGCAACUCAGCUGACAGAGAUCAUCAAAAGAAUCAUGGGGAUUUACCUUCAUUAGACUGAAGCAUGUUGGACCUAUGGCCAAUAUGGAAAUGGGAAAUGACCUUGGAUCUAUGGAGAAACAUGGAGAAAAUGUGAGUUUGCAAUCAUAUCUCCAUAGCCAGGCCAGGACAGAAGAGCUGAGUGCACAGGUCUUAACAGUAGCUACUGCCCCCCAGUUAUGAAAAUAUUUCACACAGCAUUAAUAAGCCUACAUUUGAAAUGCAUCAUGCAUUUAAUUUGCAUGAAAUCUUUAGUUGUGUGUUACUGUCAUUUAGCAAUGGGCUUUCCAUCCAGUUUCUGCUGUGCCAGCUUCAAUAGUAAUUUGAGAUUAUUUGCCUUAAGAAGCUCCAUUAUACUGAUGUCCUUUCAAAGCUGUACCUCUGCCUUGUGUUCUACAUUCCCAGCCUGCCAUGACCGCAGUAUGGAUGGAUGGGUGGAUGGACUCUAAGCUUUUGCUUUCCCUUUAAACUGUGCUGACACAUGCAGGGUACUCUCUGGCUUUAAGUGCUUUGGCUUGGGGUCAGGGAAGCCUGCAUUUCCACCUGGAUGCAUCUGGUAUUGCCUGGCCUUGACCGUUUCCCUCUGUACCUUUAUGCUAAUUUGAUUUUGGGGCGCAAAUGUGACUCCCAUGUGACAUUAUUGUCAAAAAAAGUCCAUGAGAGCCGACAGUAUAGUGUUUUAGGGCUGUGUUUCUCAGUCCUCGGUGACCCAUACACAGUCCUCAUGUCUGCUCCUUCUCAGCUCCUUGUAACAGGUGUUUGGUGUUUUUGAUUGGCUGGGAACUCAAAGGAAUCAAAAUGUGGACCAUGUGGGGGUUUCCGAGGACUGGGUUGAGAAACACUGGUUCUGGAGGUAACCUGAAGGUUGUUGGUUUGAAUUCUGGAGUUAGAAUCAUAGUAUUGAACUGUGUGUAAUAACUGGCAAAUGUAAAGUAAAGGCCUAGUCUAUCAACUAGGGCUAGGCAAUUAAUCAGAUUUUAAUUUCAGUUAUGACUUUGGCUUCCAACGAUAAUCAAAACAAAAUAAUCAAGAUGAAACAAUUAUUGUGCCUCAUUUGUGUUACAAAUCCAGGGCACCCCCUUCCAACCCCUUUAUAUUUGCUUCUCAUUUGAAUUAUAUUUACAGUUCAAGGAAAACCACUGUUAAAUAGACAGUUUUUUUUUAUUUCCAGAAAUGCCUGAUGUUUCCAAAGCCAAUGAGUAAUUGUGUUAAAUAAUUGUGAUUUCAGUAUUGGCCAAACUAAUUGUGUGAUUAUGAUUUUUAUCAAAAUCGAGCAGCCCUACUAUCAACCAUCU
Molecule: long non-coding RNA, 1543 nt
Organism: Paramormyrops kingsleyae
Lineage: Eukaryota; Metazoa; Chordata; Actinopteri; Osteoglossiformes; Mormyridae
Source: RefSeq, a predicted model, not a curated record